CAUGAUGAUCACACUGACCUCUCCAGCUGGAUCCCGGGCCACAUCCUCCUCACACUUUACACGCUAGUAAACCAGAUCUGCUUUUCAUCCUCAUAUAAAUAUAUUACUGGUCACACAGAGCAGACGCUAAGGGCUGAAUGGAACACGGAUGAUGGCAGAUUUUCUUAAAGAGGGGCAUACCUGUAACCCGCCAGGUUGGUGGCCCCAAUUCUACAGGAGCCCCUGGUUGCAGAUUUCUAAAGCAGCUGGAGCUAUGAGUUGCUGCCUGAGGCCCCCAAUGAGAACUGGAGGGCCCCAGGCUCUUCCCACGGGAUCCUUGAUCAUGUUCUCAGUUCCUCCUCCAGAAACGUGGGGCUAAAAUAAGCCCAGAGGCUGAGGAAUGGGCAGCGAGAAUAAUUCCAGAUUGGUUAUGCAUCCCGGUGCCUCCACAUAAUUGAGAGAAAAAUCAUUCACACACAGUGAUGGGGGCCACUCAACCGAGAAAAUUUCCAAUACCAAGAGCAAGAGACUGAAUAAUUCCUAAGAGUUAAGAUGCUAUUCCUAUUAUGCUCGCCAUCUCAUAUAUUUA
This 568-nucleotide long non-coding RNA is filed under the name Equus caballus (horse). RNAcentral describes it as "lncRNA (ENSECAG00000050258.1)". Lineage: Eukaryota; Metazoa; Chordata; Mammalia; Perissodactyla; Equidae. The record is from RNAcentral.